CCUAUGGGAGGCAGCAGUGGGGAAUAUUGGACAAUGGGGGCAACCCUGAUCCAGCCAUGCCGCGUGUGUGAAGAAGGCCCUCGGGUUGUAAAGCACUUUCAGUGAGGAAGAACGCCUGGUGGUUAAUACCCAUCAGGAAAGACAUCACUCACAGAAGAAGCACCGGCUAACUCCGUGCCAGCAGCCGCGGUAAUACGGAGGGUGCGAGCGUUAAUCGGAAUUACUGGGCGUAAAGCGCGCGUAGGUGGCUUGAUAAGCCGGUUGUGAAAGCCCCGGGCUCAACCUGGGAACGGCAUCCGGAACUGUCAAGCUAGAGUGCAGGAGAGGAAGGUAGAAUUCCCGGUGUAGCGGUGAAAUGCGUAGAGAUCGGGAGGAAUACCAGUGGCGAAGGCGGCCUUCUGGACUGACACUGACACUGAGGUGCGAAAGCGUGGGUAGCAAACAGGAUUAGAUACCCUUGUAGUC
This 465-nucleotide ribosomal RNA is filed under the name Vreelandella stevensii. RNAcentral describes it as "partial 16S ribosomal RNA". It matches the Rfam family "Bacterial small subunit ribosomal RNA", at positions 338 to 795 of the family's 1533-position model. The record is from RNAcentral. Lineage: Bacteria; Pseudomonadati; Pseudomonadota; Gammaproteobacteria; Oceanospirillales; Halomonadaceae.